RNAcentral lists this long non-coding RNA (725 nucleotides) under Pan troglodytes (chimpanzee). Its description in RNAcentral is "lincRNA". The record is from RNAcentral. Lineage: Eukaryota; Metazoa; Chordata; Mammalia; Primates; Hominidae.
GGAAAUCUCGUUGAGUUUGGGAGGCCUUACUUCUGCAUAUUUGAAUCUGGUGACCAAAUUAAACAUUGUUCUAACUGUAGUGGUCUGAUCAUUCUACCAAGGCCAUGACUGUGAAGAGCACUGUGGGUGAUGGCUGGUGGCUCACUGGAGCCGGCUUGUGCACGGCGCCUGAAGCCAAAGAAAUCUGAAGACCCGACCUUACUAUUGGCAAAGACAGACAAACACUCUACAAAUAGUGCUUGAAAAAUGCCACUGUUUGGUUCAGAUGGUGAAGAGGAACUCAGGAAGGCCUGGCAGUCUCUAGGAGGCUAGGGCAGUGGUUCUCAAAUGAUAGGGUGUACAGAAAUUCCCUGGAGGACUUGUGACAACAAAGAUUGCUAGGCCUACUCCCAGGGUUUCUAAUUCAGCAGGUCUGGGGAUGGAGCUCAAGUAUCUGCAUUUCUAACAAGUCCCCGGUGGUGCUGAUGCUGCUUUCAUGGACCAGUUUUGAGAACCAUACUUGGAGAAACACUUGGUUAAGAAAAAUAUGUCUGUUACAGAUUGAUCAAAGGGCUCUUAAGUUCCUUUUGUACAAUAAAUCACUGCGAUAUCAAAUGAGGUAAAUGAACAUGCUCUUUGAACUCUAAACUUCUAGACCAAUAUAAAACAUUCUAAGUGUGAAAUGGAAACAUUUACAAUUGUUAUUGAUUCUCAUCAAUGCAAUGUUCAAUAAAGAUAAGAAUCAC